RNAcentral lists this ribosomal RNA (440 nucleotides) under uncultured bacterium. RNAcentral describes it as "bacterial SSU rRNA". It matches the Rfam family "Bacterial small subunit ribosomal RNA", at positions 338 to 795 of the family's 1533-position model. The record is from RNAcentral.
CCUACGGGUGGCUGCAGUGGGGAAUAUUGCACAAUGGGGGAAACCCUGAUGCAGCAACGCCGCGUGAGCGAAGAAGGCCUUCGGGUCGUAAAGCUCUGUCCUAAGGGAAGAAGGAUGACGGUACCUUAGGAGGAAGCCCCGGCUAACUACGUGCCAGCAGCCGCGGUAAUACGUAGGGGGCAAGCGUUAUCCGGAAUCACUGGGCGUAAAGGGUGCGUAGGCGGCCGAUAAAGUCUGGGGUGAAAGGCUACGGCUCAACCGUGGUAAGCCUUGGAAACUUAUGGGCUUGAGUGCAGGAGAGGUAAGUGGAAUUCCUAGUGUAGCGGUGAAAUGCGUAGAUAUUAGGAGGAACACCAGUGGCGAAGGCGACUUACUGGACUGUAACUGACGCUGAGGCACGAAAGCGUGGGGAGCAAACAGGAUUAGAUACCCAUGUAGUC